This 846-nucleotide ribosomal RNA is filed under the name Triticum aestivum (bread wheat). Its description in RNAcentral is "partial small subunit ribosomal RNA". The record is from RNAcentral. Lineage: Eukaryota; Viridiplantae; Streptophyta; Magnoliopsida; Poales; Poaceae.
AUGGGGGAAAAGGUGGGCUUGCAGUCGCCAUUUGUGGUCCUGCACUCCUGUUCUGCCACAGCCCGCAGGAUAAGAAACAUGCUCCCCGUGCUCAUCGCCGGUGCCUCUGCGCCGCCGCGUCCCUUCUCCCCCUGGCGCCGCCGCGAGCUACCCAUCCGGCUGUCCUCGUCCAAACCUCUCCGUGCCCUGCAGAACAGCGAGGGCGGUAGUAGGCCCCUAGGGCGCGCCUGGCCGGCCGUCUCCGCUGCCCUCUUCGGCUCGGGGUUCCUCCUCGGGCCGCUCCUGGACGGCAUCCACUCCCGCGUCGGCCUCCAGGUGUACGGAAACGGCGCCCUCGACCUGGGCCCCCUCCACACCCACAUCCUGGUGCCGCCCCUGCUCGGAGCGUUCUACUGCACCGUGGGGCUGCUCCAGCUCUUCCUGGACGAGAGGGCGCCCCCCAGGUCCAAGGCCACCGGCAGCCCCCGCGACACGGCGACGUCGCUAAUAGUCCUCACCAUGUUCAUCGAGCUGAGCGCGGAGAUGUACAGAGCGGGGGUGCCGAGCAACGCGGAGGCGUACGUGCUGUUCGCCGUGGCGGAGUUCGUGUGGCUCUUCCUCGACAGCUCCUGGCUCGGCUUCGCCCUGGCCUGCCUCGUCGGCGUCGCCUGCCCUCUCGCCGAGGUCCCGCUCGUCAGAUUGCUCGAAUGCUGGAGCUAUCCCAAUGCCGACGUCCAGCUGUUUGGCACCGGGCUGAUGAGCUGGACGACGACAUGCUACUUCGUGUACACGCCUUUCCUGGCGAAUCUGGCGAGAUUGCUCAAGUCGCGGCUGGCGGACGAUAACACGGAGGGAAAGGAAGAAUGA